RNAcentral lists this ribosomal RNA (459 nucleotides) under uncultured bacterium. Its description in RNAcentral is "bacterial SSU rRNA". It matches the Rfam family "Bacterial small subunit ribosomal RNA", at positions 355 to 804 of the family's 1533-position model. The record is from RNAcentral.
UCGGGAAUUUUGGGCAAUGGGCGAAAGCCUGAUCCAGCCAUGCCGCGUGUGUGAAGAAGGUCUUCGGAUUGUAAAGCACUUUAAGUUGGGAGGAAGGGCAGUUACCUAAUACGUGAUUGUUUUGACGUUACCGACAGAAUAAGCACCGGCUAACUCUGUGCCAGCAGCCGCGGUAAUACAGAGGGUGCAAGCGUUAAUCGGAAUUACUGGGCGUAAAGCGCGCGUAGGUGGUUAGUUAAGUUGGAUGUGAAAUCCCCGGGCUCAACCUGGGAACUGCAUUCAAAACUGACUGACUAGAGUAUGGUAGAGGGUGGUGGAAUUUCCUGUGUAGCGGUGAAAUGCGUAGAUAUAGGAAGGAACACCAGUGGCGAAGGCGACCACCUGGACUGAUACUGACACUGAGGUGCGAAAGCGUGGGGAGCAAACAGGAUUAGAUACCCACGUAGUCCCUGAGCGGGC